This 397-nucleotide ribosomal RNA is filed under the name uncultured bacterium. RNAcentral describes it as "partial 16S ribosomal RNA". It matches the Rfam family "Bacterial small subunit ribosomal RNA", at positions 523 to 918 of the family's 1533-position model. The record is from RNAcentral.
AUACGUAGGGGGCGAGCGUUGUCCGGAAUGAUUGGGCGUAAAGGGCGCGUAGGCGGCGCGGUAAGUCUGGAGUGAAAGUCCUGCUUUCAAGGUGGGAAUUGCUUUGGAUACUGCCGCGCUUGAGUGCAGGAGAGGUUAUCGGAAUUCCCGGUGUAGCGGUGAACUGCGUAGAGAUCGGGAGGAACACCAGUGGCGAAGGCGGGUAACUGGACUGCAACUGACGCUGAGGCGCGAAAGUGUGGGGAGCAAACAGGAUUAGAUACCCUGGUAGUCCACACUGUAAACGAUGAAUGCUAGGUGUAAGAGGUAUCGACCCCUUUUGUGCCGGAGUUAACACAAUAAGCAUUCCGCCUGGGGAGUACGGCCGCAAGGUUGAAACUCAAAGGAAUUGACGGGG